RNAcentral lists this ribosomal RNA (598 nucleotides) under uncultured bacterium. RNAcentral's name for it is "bacterial SSU rRNA". It matches the Rfam family "Bacterial small subunit ribosomal RNA", at positions 139 to 696 of the family's 1533-position model. The record is from RNAcentral.
GGGAUCAGCCCAGGGAAACCUUGGAGUAACUACCCGCAAUAGCAUCUUGCCGUGAGAAGCAACAGCAGGGCACCGCAAGGACUCUUGCCGACCUUUAGGAGUGAGCCUAUGUCGUGAUUUAGCUUGUUGUGUAGGGUAACGAGUCCUUACCAAGGCGACAAUCCGUAGCUGGUCUGAGAGGACGUACCAGCCAACAGCUGGGACUGAGACCACGGAUCCAGAUUCCAUACGGGAGGCAGCAGUGGGGAAUUUUGCGCAAUGGGCGAAAGCCUGACGCAGCAACGCCGCGUGGAGGAUGAAGGUUCUCUGAAUCGUAAACUCCUGUCGGUCGAGAAGAAUGGACGGGGUGCUAAUCAGCUCCGUUUUGACUGUAUCGGCAAAGGAAGCCCCGGUAACUCCGUGCCAGCAGCCGCGGUAAUACGGAGGGGGCAAGCGUUACUCGGAAUUAUUGGGCGUAAAGGGCGCGAUAGGCGGUUCGAGUGCGAUACGGAGGUGAAAUCCCCGGGCUUAACCCGGGAGCUGCCUCCGAUACGGCACGGUUGACGUCCGGGAGAGGGGAGCAGAAUUCCCAGUUGUCAGCGGGUGAAAUGCGUAGAUA